Molecule: transfer RNA, 84 nt
Filed under: Nitrospinota bacterium
Lineage: Bacteria; Pseudomonadati; Nitrospinota
Description: tRNA-Leu
Rfam family: tRNA
About the family: Transfer RNA (tRNA) molecules are approximately 80 nucleotides in length. Their secondary structure includes four short double-helical elements and three loops (D, anti-codon, and T loops).
Source: RNAcentral
GCCGGGGUGGCGGAAUUGGUAGACGCAAGGGACUUAAAAUCCCUCGAGGGAAACCUCGUGCCGGUUCGAUUCCGGCCCUCGGCA